GAACUGGGAACUGAGGAAGAUGAUAACAACUUCUGGAAAUGAAGAACACACAAAAUCAUCAUCGUAGCUUAAAGCAAGACAACAAGGAUAUGUUUCUAUUCAUCUCAUCUAUUUUACCUAAUCAUUUGUAUCUGUACCUUAAUUAUGCCAUCAACCCUCUAGCAGAAACAAAAACUAGAUGAAGUUAAAGGUAAAAGAUUCAAACUAGAUAUGAAAUGUGAAUGAAAGAAAUUCAACAGUUCAGACAAUUAGUGGCGAACUCUAAUCUUGGUGGUUUACGUAAUGGUGGGAAACAGAGAACGCUCCAGGGGUUACUAUGGCUACUCAAAUGACUAUACCACCUUCUUUUUCUCGAACUUCCCUCACGGUUAUGGUGAAGUGGAUAUGGUCAAGGUCUUCCAAAGACAGGUUAGGGUGAAAGAAGUUUUCAUAUCACGUAGGCUUAACAUAUGGGUGAGAAGAUUUGGGUUUGUGAGGUUAUUUGAGGUGAGAAACGCGGAACGCCUAGAGAAGGAGCUGGAUAAUAUAUAUAUCGGAAACAUGAAGCUCCAUGUGAACAUCCCAAAGUACCGAAGGAAUCAGCAGGAAACUGUUAAGGAGGAAAGGAGGGCCUCGAGGUUUCCUUACAUGGAAAGGCAGAGAGACAAAGGGAAGUGUAAGGAGAUAUGGGUGGAGAAGAAAGGGAAAAAGUCUUUUGUAGAAGCUGUCAAAGGUGAAGAGCAACAGGACAAAUGGAA
RNAcentral lists this long non-coding RNA (737 nucleotides) under Phaseolus vulgaris (common bean). RNAcentral describes it as "long non-coding RNA (PVUL_LNC001773)". The record is from RNAcentral. Lineage: Eukaryota; Viridiplantae; Streptophyta; Magnoliopsida; Fabales; Fabaceae.